GUCUUUAAGAUUAAAUUUAAAGUCCAAUCUGCUCACUGAAAAUUAAAGAGCCGCAGUAUUUUAACUGUGCAAAGGUAGCAUAAUCAAUAGUUUUUUAAUUGGAAACUGGAAUGAAUGAUUAAACGAAAAAUUGACUUUCUUUGAUUUAAAAAUUGAAUUUAAAUUUUAAGUUAAAAUUCUUAAUUAAAUUUAAAAGACGAGAAGACCCUAUAGAUUUUUAUUAAUAAAAUUUAUAUAAUAAAAAUAUAUUUUUAUUAAUUUGAUUGGGGUGAUAUUAUUACAAAAAAAACUAAAAUUAAUAAAACCAUAAAUAAUUGAAGUUUUUGAUUUAAAUAUUUUAAAUAAAAGAUUAAAUUACCUUAGGGAUAACAGCGUAAUUUUAUUUAAGAGUUCAUAUCUAUAAUAAAGAUUGCGACCUCGAUGUUGAAUUAAGAAAUUUAUUGGAGUAGAAAUUAAUAUAAAUUAGUCUGUUCGACUAUUAAAUUCU
This 487-nucleotide ribosomal RNA is filed under the name Ectopsocopsis cryptomeriae. Its description in RNAcentral is "partial 16S ribosomal RNA". The record is from RNAcentral. Lineage: Eukaryota; Metazoa; Arthropoda; Insecta; Psocodea; Ectopsocidae.